Molecule: RNA transcript, 1351 nt
Organism: Momordica charantia (bitter melon)
Lineage: Eukaryota; Viridiplantae; Streptophyta; Magnoliopsida; Cucurbitales; Cucurbitaceae
Gene name: Low affinity potassium transport system protein
Source: RefSeq, a predicted model, not a curated record
AAUAUAAUUUUGCAGCAAAAUUGAUUUCAGCCUUUUUCCAAUUUUAUUUCUCCAACUCGGCGAUUCGAUUCCCCCAUUUUUCACUAUCAGCGAUGCUUCCGCCAUGACGCCGUCGAUUUAAGCUCCGGUGAUCUCUCUACUUUCAGACUCUGCCGGGUUCUGUACGUUCCGUUCCCGGUGUCUUUGGUUGCUUGAGGGGGUGGAAGCCUUCUCAGAAAUAAAUUUUGAGUGCCGCAGAUGAGGUAUAACUGAUGUUAUUGGCAGUAGAAGGAGGAGGGUUCUUUUCUUCUUCAGCAUCUGGGUAUAGCAAGGGUCUGACCCUUCUUCUUUUGGGUCAAAAGGACGAAGAUAAACCCAUGAGAGUUUCUCCGUGGAAUCAUUACCAGUUGGUGGACCAAGAAUCAGAAUCUGACCUCCAGCUGGCUUCCACAAAGAAUCGCAUUUCCCGCGGCUGUGCCUCCUUUGUUUGCUUUGGUCGCACUUCCGCAGGGCUUGACAGUUCACCUUCUCCGCUUAAAGUAGGCCCAACCUUACCACAUGAUUCUUUGCCUGGGCCUUUAAGUACUAAUACAGGGAAAGAUGAAGUUCCUAUUGUGAAUGAUGGUAAUAGUUUGAGAAAUAUAGCCCUUAAAAGUAGCUUGAAAAAGCCCAAUAAUGGUAUUUCAAUUUCUCAUCAGAAUGCUCAUGAAAGUGAAACAAUGAGUAAAAAGGAUGGUGAUAUACGUUGUCCUACUGAUAGAAGAAAAGUUCAGUGGAAUGAUGCUUGUGGGAGUGAACUGGUAGAGAUCAGGGAAUUUGAGCCCAGAACAGGCUUGAUCAAUUCUGUUACCCUGUGAUAUUUCUCUCGUUUGAUUGCCAUUGCCCGGAGAAUUAUUGCAGAUAAAAACCCUCGAAAAGUUGUGUGAAGCCGGUCUUUCCGAUGACGAGCUCGAAAAUGGAAACAAGAGGAGUUGUUCUUGUGCAAUCAUGUAGCUCUAGGCUGCUUCAAGAAUAGGGGUAAAUUUCUAAACAAGAAAACGCUUGCCCGUCUCCUUUGCCCAAACAUUCUUUGUGGAUACUCACAAUCCUGAUAAAACACGAUCACGUCGACAACGACUGCAUUCAAUGGUCAGAUUUCCCACUCGAUCAUCGCGCUGUUUAUAGUGAAUUGUUCUGUUUUCGGUUUUCAGUUUUGUUCCUACGCGUGGUCUGUUUAUUUUUUACUGGCAUUUGUAAGACUUCCUCCAUUGUACACUAUCUUCACUUUCAGUAUAUUCCCUUUUUUUUCUUAUUAUUAUUAUUUUGGUCAUUUGCUAUAUAAUGAAUAUUCAUUUGUUGUCCCAAAGUCGCAAAUGUUAGUCUGAUGGAAUUA